Molecule: non-coding RNA, 186 nt
Filed under: Candidatus Eremiobacteraceae bacterium
Lineage: Bacteria; Bacillati; Vulcanimicrobiota; Vulcanimicrobiia; Candidatus Eremiobacterales; Candidatus Eremiobacteraceae
Description: 6S RNA
Rfam family: 6S / SsrS RNA
About the family: E. coli 6S RNA was the first non coding RNA to be sequenced, but its function was unknown until recently. It consists of 184 nucleotides that fold into an extended hairpin structure with a large single-stranded internal bulge.
Source: RNAcentral
GGUUCCCUGGGGUGUGCGAGAGCUCGUCUUGUGAUUGAUCCAACAUCAUCACGAGAGGGAGCCGAGCUCCGGUCCUUCUUUGAGCAAGCCCUCCACGCAGAGGGAAGCCUACCGAUGACCGGGCCAGCACCCACCUGCUGAAAGCGGGUUCAAAUCUCCGGCGGGUAACGGCACUUUGGGGAAGCG